UGGGGGAUAUUGCGCAAUGGGGGAAACCCUGACGCAGCAACGCCGCGUGAAGGAAGACGGUUUUCGGAUUGUAAACUUCUUUUGUUAAGGACGAAGAAAGCGACGGUACUUAACGAAUAAGCUCCGGCUAACUAUGUGCCAGCAGCCGCGGUAAUACAUAGGGAGCAAGCGUUGUCCGGAUUUACUGGGUGUAAAGGGUGCGUAGGCGGCAAUGCAAGUCAGAUGUGAAAUGUAUGGGCUCAACCCAUGAACUGCAUUUGAAACUGCGUUGCUUGAGUGAAGUAGAGGCAGGCGGAAUUCCCGGUGUAGCGGUGAAAUGCGUAGAGAUCGGGAGGAACACCAGUGGCGAAGGCGGCCUGCUGGGCUUUAACUGACGCUGAGGCACGAAAGCGUGGGUAGC
Molecule: ribosomal RNA, 400 nt
Filed under: uncultured bacterium
Lineage: Bacteria
Description: bacterial SSU rRNA
Rfam family: Bacterial small subunit ribosomal RNA
Source: RNAcentral